RNAcentral lists this ribosomal RNA (254 nucleotides) under uncultured bacterium. Its description in RNAcentral is "partial 16S ribosomal RNA". It matches the Rfam family "Bacterial small subunit ribosomal RNA", at positions 524 to 776 of the family's 1533-position model. The record is from RNAcentral.
UACGGAGGGGGCAAGCGUUGUUCGGAAUUACUGGGCGUAAAGGGCGCGCAGGCGGCUGCUCAAGUCAGGCGUGAAAGGCCUGGGCUCAACCCGGGAAUUGCGCUUGAGAUUGGGCUGGCUUGAGUGCGGGAGAGGAUGGUGGAAUUCCCAGUGUAGAGGUGAAAUUCGUAGAUAUUGGGAAGAACACCGGUGGCGAAGGCGGCCAUCUGGACCGCAACUGACGCUGAGGCGCGAAAGCGUGGGGAGCAAACAGG